GAUGAACGCUAGCGGCAGGCCUAACACAUGCAAGUCGAGGGGUAACUAGAGUGAUAGCAAUAUUACUUUGGCUAGACCGGCGCACGGGUGCGUAACACGUAUGCAACCUACCUUAUACUGGGGAAUAACUUCGAGAAAUCGGCGCUAAUACCCCAUAACACUGCGGAGAGGCAUCUCUUUGCAGUUAAAGCUCCGGCGGUAUAAGAUGGGCAUGCGUCCAAUUAGCUAGUUGGUGAGGUAACGGCUCACCAAGGCUACGAUUGGUAGGGGUUUUGAGAGGAUGGUCCCCCACACUGGUACUGAGACACGGACCAGACUCCUACGGGAGGCAGCAGUGAGGAAUAUUGCGCAAUGGACGAAAGUCUGACGCAGCCAUGCCGCGUGCAGGAUGACGGCCCUAUGGGUUGUAAACUGCUUUUGUACGGGAAUAAACCCUUCUACGUGUAGGAGGCUGAAGGUACCGUAAGAAUAAGCACCGGCUAACUCCGUGCCAGCCGCCGCCGUAA
This 506-nucleotide ribosomal RNA is filed under the name uncultured bacterium. Its description in RNAcentral is "partial 16S ribosomal RNA". It matches the Rfam family "Bacterial small subunit ribosomal RNA", at positions 28 to 523 of the family's 1533-position model. The record is from RNAcentral.